This 450-nucleotide ribosomal RNA is filed under the name uncultured Glomeromycotina. RNAcentral's name for it is "SSU rRNA". It matches the Rfam family "Eukaryotic small subunit ribosomal RNA", at positions 569 to 1023 of the family's 1831-position model. The record is from RNAcentral. Lineage: Eukaryota; Fungi; Glomeromycota.
AGCAGCCGCGGUAAUUCCAGCUCCAAUAGCGUAUAUUAAAGUUGUUGCAGUUAAAAAGCUCGUAGUUGAAUUUCGGGAUCAAUACGUCGGUCGUGCUUCGGUACGUACUGGCGUCAUUGGUUUCUCCCUUCUGACGAACCAUGAUGUCAUUAACUUGGUGUCAUGGGAAAUCAGGACUGUUACUUUGAAAAAAAUUAGAGUGUUUAAAGCAGGCUCACGCUUGAAUACAUUAGCAUGGAAUAAUGAAAUAGGACGUUCGAUCCUAUUUUGUUGGUUUCUAGGAUUGACGUAAUGAUUAAUAGGGAUAGUUGGGGGCAUUAGUAUUCAAUUGUCAGAGGUGAAAUUCUUGGAUUUAUUGAAGACUAACUACUGCGAAAGCAUUUGCCAAGGAUGUUUUCACUAAUCAAGAACGAAAGUUAGGGGAUCGAAGACGAUCAGAUACCGUCGUAG